This is a long non-coding RNA of Chinchilla lanigera (long-tailed chinchilla), 6052 nucleotides long. Lineage: Eukaryota; Metazoa; Chordata; Mammalia; Rodentia; Chinchillidae. The record is from Ensembl.
ACAGAACCUCCUCAGUCCUACUUGGAAGUCAGGCGGACUGAAAGCAAAGACUUCUCGAACACAAAACAGAGAAGACACUGAGAGAAAAGGUCUCAGAGUCCUGGAUCCAUGUGUUCCGACCCUGAGCUGAGGGAAGAAAGAGCAGGCGUUAAGAGGAGCGAGAUACGAGAGGGUUGCUGGGAGUCCGGAAGUGUCUGUUCUUGUUCAAGUCGUGCCUCUCAUUUUGUGCAGCUCUGGGCUAAUCACUUUUCCUUACAGCUGUUCCUUCUUAGUAAAACUUCUUAGUAAAGCUGUUACUUCUUAGUAAAAGGUCUUCUAGGAGGAUCUCAGAGGCCUUUUAAAGCCCAGAACUCUGGGGCUGGGGAUUUAGCUCAGAGGCACAGCGCCUGCCUGGCAAGCGCAAGUUCGUGAGUUUGAUUCCUAGUACUGGAAGGAAAACAAAAAAACAAAACACAACAACAAAAAAAUAAAGCCCAGAAUUCUGAUUUCUGAACUCAAAUUAAGCCCUGCCUGGGCUGUCAGGAUUUGGAGUGCUGGAAUGUGCCUGAAUAUUGGAAGAAAUCCAGAAAAGACUGGCCUCAAAAAAAGGAGAAACUAGAGGAGCUACCUAUAGCCCUCACAGCCCCAGAAUGGCAGAGCCCAGGGCUUCUUCAGGAAAAUCAAACCUCGACCCACUUCUGCCUGCCCAUUCUGGCUUCCUUCAGAGGCCUUCGGAGGGAAUCAGCUCUUCCAGGCCAUCUUGUGCAUCCCUCUGCCUCUGUGCUGGCCUCUGUGUGCCCCGUCCCAGGAGAUCCAAGACUGGGAAGGAGGCCCUUUCCCACCACCCGAUCCUGGCAGGUCCUAGUCACCUGGCAGUCUUCAUUCUCCCAGUUCUCUGGGUGAUCUCCCAGGCAGGUAUGUGUCCCACCCUUGCCCAUGCCCUCCUUUUGUUCUUGCACUUGCACUCGCGGCGCACUCUGCCUUCUCAGCCUGCCCCAAGCAUCCCACCUCUCUCGAUGUCCUGCCUGUCUUCCCACUGCUGCUUGGCACCAAACACGAUCAUCAGCAGGAGGCCGGCAGUCGCUCCCAUCUCCUCUGGCCUCUCCCACUAUAUCUCUCCUUGAUGCCUUGUCACUGACUGUAAAUGAGCCCCCCAAGGUCUGACAGAGAAAAUGCCAUUCUAGAAAGAGAGACAAAGAUCCUUGUGAUUUGUGAUUAUAGAGAGCAGGUCGUGCACCAGCAGACUGACCCGAAGGCAAUUGCUUCCUUUCAUGUUCUGCUACAACACUGGAAAGAGAAAAUCUCCAACAAACCAAGCUGAACAUUGUGGACCCCAGAGACCAAGACAGUGGCCAGCCCUGUGCUGGACAACUGCCUUAUGGAGUGCUUUGAAGCACCUUAGGGCUUCGCCUCUGCCUUGGGGCCUCAGUUUCCUCUCUACCUCCAUGGCCCACACAGCGAACGCUCCUGUGCCUAAGGAGUUGAGGACUGCUUGGGCAGUUAGCAUGGAGAAAGGAGCUGCUGGGUUGUGGCUGCCCUCUUUGUUCAUAAUUAUGGAUGGCCAUGUUCCAGCUGUUCCCUGGGGACUGCACAUUCAUUUAAUUAAAAGUUUCUGACUAGAAGAUACUAUAUCCCCCCUUUCUCUGUUCUCUACAUAGAAUAUUCCAGUUCCUUCAGAAUUAGCCAUGGCAGGGCUUCAGCCCACAUGUCCCGGUCCCACCUGACCUCCUGUCACCCAUCUCACUUGCAGAGAACAGUCAGGAGGUGGAGCAGCAGGCAGCACAUGGCAAUGCCGCUCAGCACAUGUGAGGCAACAGUGUCGUUCAGAGAUGUCCCUGCUGCAACAACUUUCCCCCAGCACUGAGGCCUGAGGGGAGCACAGCCAAGGACAGCCUGAAGAUUAAGUGCAUUCACAUACAUAAAACUUCACACAGUAUCUUCUACAUAGUAAGCAAUGGAUGAGUUUUUGCUAUUACUGUCAGUAACAGAGGCACCUGGCUCUGGUUUGGUCAGAUCCCAGCUGAUGGCAGUGACUCUAGUGGUGUGAGAUCCUCUGUCUGGUGCCUGGCAAGAGGCGGGGGUAGCCAGCAGCACAGUUCAGUGGGGUUGCCAAGCUGGUUACUAAUUUGCAAGGCUGCUUUCAUGGACCUCACCCCUCAUGUAUGGGGACAUAUCAAUACAAUGGACUUCCUGCCCUAGAAAUAGAAAUGAAUUAAGCUGGGCAUUGUGCCGCACACCUGCAAUCCCAGCACUUGAGAGGCUGAGGAUCUCAAGUUCAAUGCCAUCCUGAAAUAUACAGUGAGACCCCGUCAGAGAGAGAGAGAGGGGAGAGGAAUGUGACAUGGUGGCUACCUUUAGUCAUGGCGCUUACAGCCAAAGGUCUUCAGUGACAGGCCCAGACUUGAAGUGACUGUCCCAGGCUCUCCAUGAGAGCACUGAGGUCCAGCUCCAGGCUCUACCCACAGCACAGGCUGGGGCUGGCACUGCAAAUGAGUUGUGGCUGUCACCGAGGAGGAACUGGCAGCACACACAGCAGACUAUGUUUUCUUUGCAGUCUGAAGGUAACUAGAGGAAGCUGAGAAUUCCUCUCCUCUGCUGGGGGAGGAGGGAACAAGAGGAGGAGAGGAGAGGGGAGGCCAGUGGCUGUCCCUCCAAGGAGGGAAAUGGGAAUCCCAGCAGCUCCUAGGACCAGCAAGCAGUGCAGACUGAAGAUGGAACUCCUAAGGCCGGAGGGUGCCUUGAGAUGCCAGGAGCCUCGGUCUCCCGGCUGGAACUGUUCAGGGGGCAGCGUGGUAGCAGCCAGCACUUAGUAAACAUUCACUGUGUGCCAGGCACUGGACUCAGAGCUUGGCUGCACUAUGAAGGCAGGUUGUUCAGGGGCCUGGGAACAAUGGCCUCAGCAACACAGGACCGGGUGCAGCUCUCCAACUUUGUGACUCACUAGCUCUGUGAUCUUGAGUGAGUCACUUAACCUCUCUGUGCCUUAGUUACUUCAUUAAUAAAAUAGGAAUGCUGGUACUACCCAUCUGGGAGCUUGAAGAUUAAGUGCAUUCCCAUGUAUAAAGCUGAGCACAGUAUCUACCAUGUAGUAAGCAGCAGACAAGUUUUUGCUAUUACUGUUUUGUUGAAAUCUCGCGUAACUGUCUGCAGGAGAUAUUAUUAAUCCCUGAGGCUCAAGGAAGCUGAAUGACUUGCCAUGGUCCCCGGGGCCGUCUGACGGACAGAGUAUGAGUGCUCUCCUAAGUACCGCUUGAGGUCUCUCUUUAGGAAGAAGCAGCCGCAGUGCCAUUCUAGUUUGGAAACUCCACAGCCUCUUCAUCGGCGCCAAGAACUAAGGUGGACCUCUACCAUGUCUCUGAGGCCUGGCUUGCCCUGUGGGGACAUCCUGGCUGGUGGCACCAAGCACAAGGUCCCUCCCACCCCCCGACUCCAGAAACCCAUAGAACAGGGAGCCUCCCAGGGGCCUCAUCGCCGUCACAAUCCCCGGGGCCUCCCCUGGGACUUCCACCUCCCAUCACAGUGUCCCCCUCACAGUGUCCCCCUCACGGGAUGCUGGAUGCCCAGGCUGGAGGGACCCUUUCAAUUUGAGGAUAAACAGACUGACAUUCUGGCCCAGCCCUCCGCCACUUGCUGCUCCCCGCCCCCCUCCAUCCGCAGUGCACAGCGCUCUGUUCUCCUGCCAACUUGGCAGCUUGUCGCUGCUGUUACUAUCAACACCUCCGAGGGAAAAGGAAGAGGAGUCAGCUCCGAUCGCCUGGCACACUGAGCAGCAAAUUUGUGUCAGAGGCAGCGCUGGAAUGUCUCCCAAGCUCCCAAGGCUCCUGCGGGGGAAAGAAAGGUGGGUUUCUGGUUGCAGAGGACGGAUGGAGCCGGAGAGUGGCCCUGGUCUGAUCAGAGCAGCCCCGGUUGCAAAGAGUCUCCUAACAGAGGUGCUGGCCUGGGCCGAAGCUGCCUCCCCUCAUAGCAGGUGGCUGUGAUAGAAGGAGCCAAGGGGAGGCUGUUUCUGGAACCCUGUGGGCCUGCAGGAUGGGGAGGGGAGUCCCAGUCUCACCCCAGCUCUUGCCACAGUCCACGUAAGUAAGUAGAUAGCUUCCACUCCCGGGAUGGUCGGUCAGGGCUCUGUGGUCAAGGUAGGAAAAACAGGUUUUUCCUUGUUCAGAUUGUGAGCUCCUGGAAUGUAUGCACUGUGUCUUUCCUUCAUCUUUUUUGAACUUCCUGUGUGCAGAGCCCUUGUCUCCCUCCUGGGUUGGAUUUGGAGCCCUUAAGGGACCACACUUUCUCCACCAAAUGGAAACUUCCCACAGACAAACAACCUUGUCCUUUUCCCACCCCCUCCCCCAGCCUCUAGGGCCCAGGCCAUUGGCUCCACAAGGCAGCAGAUGCACUUCUCUGGCUCCUGCUACAACUCGGGGGAUCCAGUUGGGAAUAACAGAGAACCUGCAUCUUCAAGGACCCAGUGCCCAGCCCUGUGGGAUCACCUUGCAGCCCUCCCAGGAUGAAUGCCUUCCCAGCUUCUCAUAGUUUGUCAAGGGAACAUCUGUGCUUCCAGCCCCAGGGCCUUGGUAUCAGUGGUGGGCCUAGGAGGAGCUUCCCAGUCCUUAUGCUGACUUCCCAUUGGUCUGCUCAAGGAUGUGUUCCUAAGGUCUUACCUGGCUGCUACCAGGCUGAUUCCUUCUCUAAUAUGCAGAGAACCUUGGUGCCCUCCGGGGUGCACCUGCGAUGCCUGUAUGCUCACUGGGCGGUGCCUUACAUUUGAAAUCCAUGUUUCCCCCUCUCUCCUUCCUUUCAUCUUUUUUUCCCCUCAUUCUUCUCCCCACUCCCUCCAGAAACCUUUCUCUCAGACAUGAAACUGAUCCUAAGACCUUCUGUAUUCCCAGAUUCAGAAGUCUAAAAAUCCCCAAACCCUGCACUUGUAUCCAUCCCCAGAAAGCCUGCAACCUGUUCAGGGCCCAGAAACCAAGAAGGAGAAUUCAUUCUGUGAGCUGGGAUGUAAAUAAGCCAUGAGAGGCUGCACCACUCCGGGCUGCACCUGUGAACGCCCCUUAGCUGAAGCCCUGUCAGCGUUUCCAUGACAAACCCAUAUUUCCGGAUGCCUCUCAUCCAGCUUGAAGAGCCUGCCUCGUGGUGAGACUUGCCACUGAAAAUGCAUUCGUAUUUUUCCCCUAAAAAAUAGUGCAUGCUCUACAAAAUCCACCUGCUCAUUAUACAUGUUUGCUCUUCAUUCUGGGAGUUUUGUGCCUAUGACGUUUGUAUGGGGUAAAUGCAGGCGGGUGAUACACCCUUGGGAAGUUCUGUGGUGAAGACCUAUCAAAGCAAAUAUAGCCACCCCAUAGGGCAUAAGCUAUCUUCCUUCCCCCAAACAUCUCCCACCUCCAUCUGCCUGCCUUAAAGCCUGACAUUCCACCAUUAUAAAUUUGCUACUUUUGACUUUGAAGGAUCACCCAUCUCUGAGAGUCCACUGUGCCAUGCGCCAGCCUCUAGAAGGGGCUAACACCUGAAGCCCACCAGCUCCUAUCUGACAUGGGGUUUGCAGAAGGACUACAAGGCGUCACAAAGGAUGACCACAGGGCAGAAAGAGCCCUCAAAGAGGAGAAUGGUAUUCUAGACUUAUUACCUAUUUUACAGAUGUUCUAGGUCUGCGUGUAAGAGGAUAUGUGCGCAACGCACGCAUGCGCGUGUGCACAAAUACACACAGAGCACUCUUUAAGUAGAACAGUUGCGCCAGGACCUAAGUGGCCUUCAGAUUCACCUGGGGUGCUUCCAAAAGUUUCAAUUCCCAGGCCCUGCCCUAGGCAUACUGAAUCAUCUUUUCCAGAGCUGGAGCUGACCCCAGAAUUUAGCAUUUUAAAGCAGCAUCCAGCUGAGGAUGUAGCUCAGUGGCACUGUGCCUGUCUGGCAAGCAAGAGGUCCUGAGUUCAAUUCCUGGUACCAAAAAAAAAAAAAAGCAGCAUCCAGGUGAUGCAGAAGAUCAGCCAGGCUUUGAAACCACUGAUAUAGCAAAAUAGAUCAGUAGUGAGAAAAGAGAAUACCCAAAUACCACUGAUGGAGCCCCUCAGCACUUCACUCUCUGCAC